This 915-nucleotide ribosomal RNA is filed under the name Triticum aestivum (bread wheat). RNAcentral's name for it is "partial small subunit ribosomal RNA". The record is from RNAcentral. Lineage: Eukaryota; Viridiplantae; Streptophyta; Magnoliopsida; Poales; Poaceae.
AUGCAAACAGACUGGGGAGGUGAGUAUGAGAAACUCAACUCAUUCUUCCAGAAACUUGGCAUUUCUCAUCAUGUUUCUUGCCCUCACGCUCACCAACAAAACGGGUCUGCUGAAAGAAAGCACCGUCACAUUGUUGAUGUAGGGCUUGCAUUACUAGCUAAUGCAUCCAUGCCACUUAAGUUCUGGGAUGAAGCUUUCUUAACUGCUACAUAUCUCAUUAACUUGCUCCCUAGUAAGGCCAUCAAGCUUGAGACACCCAUCACACGAGUCCUUGGCAUAACACCAGAUUACACAUCACUUCGCAUCUUUGGUUGUGCAUGUUGUCCGAACCUUCAACCUUACAAUACACACAAACUCGCUUUUCGUUCAAAGAGGUGCGUUUUCUUAGGGUAUAGUCCCAUGCACAAAGGAGUCAAGUGCUUGGAUGUUCCUACAGGAAGAGUCUAUAUCUCGCGAGAUGUUGUAUUUGAUGAGUCCAUCUUUCCGUUUGCAUCUCUACAUCCCAACGCCGGUGCCCUGCUUCGAAAGGAAAUUCUUCUCCUUCCUGAAAAUCUCUGGAGUUUUGAUCAAGGGGGAGACAAUUGCACUGAUCAAUAUGAUGAUAAUAUUGCUAGCACCAGUUCUGCUCUUGUUCCUGUGCAGGUUCGCAGCGAAAACUGUGCCCAAAAUGAUGUACAAGAUGAUCAAAACGAGGGUUUAUUUCAUGUGCCGCAAGAAGACGAAAUUGGCGCUGAAAACGGAGCUGAUCCGGCGGCGCCAGCAACUCCUGUUCGCCUGUCAGCCUCGGAUCGCGGGACGCAAUCGUCCUCGGAUCGCAUUCCUGGCGGGCGCGGGUGCACUCCCUCAUCCAGCCAACCUCGCGCCGCCACGUCACAGGCAGGCGGGGGCGUAUCUCCCUCGUGCUCCACGCCAUGA